Molecule: regulatory RNA element, 37 nt
Organism: Aquimarina spongiae
Lineage: Bacteria; Pseudomonadati; Bacteroidota; Flavobacteriia; Flavobacteriales; Flavobacteriaceae
Rfam family: DUF805b RNA
About the family: Bacteroidetes, Chlorobi (1 example), Proteobacteria. Lineage (Flavobacteria)
Source: Rfam
AAGGAGGAAUCUGAAAAUCCUAAAAACAGAGUAAGAA